CCUACGGGAGGCAGCAGUGGGGAAUAUUGGACAAUGGGGGGAACCCUGAUCCAGCCAUGCCGCGUGUGUGAAGAAGGCCCUCGGGUUGUAAAGCACUUUCAGUGAGGAAGAACGCCUGGUGGUUAAUACCCAUCAGGAAAGACAUCACUCACAGAAGAAGCACCGGCUAACUCCGUGCCAGCAGCCGCGGUAAUACGGAGGGUGCGAGCGUUAAUCGGAAUUACUGGGCGUAAAGCGCGCGUAGGUGGCUUGAUAAGCCGGUUGUGAAAGCCCCGGGCUCAACCUGGGAACGGCAUCCGGAACUGUCAAGCUAGAGUGCGGGAGAGGAAGGUAGAAUUCCCGGUGUAGCGGUGAAAUGCGUAGAGAUCGGGAGGAAUACCAGUGGCGAAGGCGGCCUUCUGGACUGACACUGACACUGAGGUGCGAAAGCGUGGGUAGCAAACAGGAUUAGAUACCCCGGUAGUC
Molecule: ribosomal RNA, 465 nt
Filed under: Vreelandella stevensii
Lineage: Bacteria; Pseudomonadati; Pseudomonadota; Gammaproteobacteria; Oceanospirillales; Halomonadaceae
Description: partial 16S ribosomal RNA
Rfam family: Bacterial small subunit ribosomal RNA
Source: RNAcentral